AGUGAACGCUGGCGGUAGGCCUAACACAUGCAAGUCGAACGGCAGCACAGUAAGAGCUUGCUCUUACGGGUGGCGAGUGGCGGACGGGUGAGGAAUACAUCGGAAUCUACUUUUUCGUGGGGGAUAACGUAGGGAAACUUACGCUAAUACCGCAUACGACCUACGGGUGAAAGCAGGGGAUCUUCGGACCUUGCGCGAUUGAAUGAGCCGAUGUCGGAUUAGCUAGUUGGCGGGGUAAAGGCCCACCAAGGCGACGAUCCGUAGCUGGUCUGAGAGGAUGAUACGCCCAACGGGAACGGAGAACGGGCCCAGACCCCCAGGGGAGGCAGCAGGGGGGAAUAUGGGAAAAGGGGGGAAAGCCUGACCCAGCCAUACCGGGGGGGUGAAGAAGGCCUUGGGGUUGUAAAGCCCUUUUGUUGGGAAAAAAAAGAAGCAGGUUAAUACCCCGCUGCUUGGACGGGCCCAAAAGAAAAAGCACCGGCUAACUUCGG
Molecule: ribosomal RNA, 491 nt
Filed under: uncultured bacterium
Lineage: Bacteria
Description: partial 16S ribosomal RNA
Rfam family: Bacterial small subunit ribosomal RNA
Source: RNAcentral